RNAcentral lists this transfer RNA (70 nucleotides) under Chrysochloris asiatica (Cape golden mole). RNAcentral describes it as "transfer RNA-Ala". It matches the Rfam family "tRNA". Rfam says of the family: Transfer RNA (tRNA) molecules are approximately 80 nucleotides in length. Their secondary structure includes four short double-helical elements and three loops (D, anti-codon, and T loops). The record is from RNAcentral. Lineage: Eukaryota; Metazoa; Chordata; Mammalia; Afrosoricida; Chrysochloridae.
AAGGGCUUAGCUUAAUUAAAGUGUCUGAUUUGCGUUCAGUUGAUGUAGGAAUAUAGUCUUACAGUCCUUA